GUUGUGGCUCAGUGGUAGAGCACUCACCUAGCACAUGCAAGGCCCAGCACCACAUAAAAAUAAAUAAAUAAAAUGAAGGUAUUGUAUCCAACUAUAACUAAAAAAUAAAUAUUUUAAAAAAGGAUUGAGGAUAUAUCUCAGAGUUAAAGUGAUUCUGGGUUCAAUCACCAAUAUUAACA
This 179-nucleotide transfer RNA is filed under the name Marmota monax (woodchuck). RNAcentral describes it as "tRNA.Ala". The record is from RNAcentral. Lineage: Eukaryota; Metazoa; Chordata; Mammalia; Rodentia; Sciuridae.